UACGGAGGGUGCGAGCGUUGUCCGGAUUUAUUGGGCGUAAAGAGCUCGUAGGCGGCUCGUUGCGUCGGCUGUGAAAACCCGCAGCUCAACUGUGGGCUUGCAGCUGAUACGGGCGGGCUGGGAUUCGGUAGGGGAGACUGGAAUUCCUGGUGUAGCGGUGAAAUGCGCAGAUAUCAGGAGGAACACCGGUGGCGAAGGCGGGUCUCUGGGCCGAUAUCGACGCUGAGGAGCGAAAGCGUGGGGAGCGAACAGG
RNAcentral lists this ribosomal RNA (253 nucleotides) under uncultured bacterium. RNAcentral's name for it is "partial 16S ribosomal RNA". It matches the Rfam family "Bacterial small subunit ribosomal RNA", at positions 524 to 776 of the family's 1533-position model. The record is from RNAcentral.